GACGAACGCUGGCGGCGUGCUUAACACAUGCAAGUCGAACGGAAAGGCCCUGCUUUUGUGGGGUGCUCGAGUGGCGAACGGGUGAGUAACACGUGAGUAACCUGCCCUUGACUUUGGGAUAACUUCAGGAAACUGGGGCUAAUACCGGAUAGGAGCUCCUGCUGCAUGGUGGGGGUUGGAAAGUUUCGGCGGUUGGGGAUGGACUCGCGGCUUAUCAGCUGGUUGGUGGGGUAGUGGCUUACCAAGGCUUUGACGGGUAGCCGGCCUGAGAGGGUGACCGGCCACAUUGGGACUGAGAUAGGGCCCAGACUGCUACGGGAGGCAGCAGGGGGGAAUAUUACACAAUGGGCGGAAGCCAGAUGCAGCAACGCCGCGUGCGGGAUGACGGCCUUCGGGUUGUAAACCGAUUUCGCCUGUGACGAAGCGUGAGUGACGGUAAUGGGUAAAGAAGCACCGGCUAACUACGUG
Molecule: ribosomal RNA, 468 nt
Filed under: uncultured bacterium
Lineage: Bacteria
Description: partial 16S ribosomal RNA
Rfam family: Bacterial small subunit ribosomal RNA
Source: RNAcentral